AGAACCAUACAAAACCAGUAAACAUACGAUAAGCUUAAAGAAUUUAAUUUUUUUUCAAAACUAUUAUGUAUUUAUAAGAUGAAAAUGAGGAGACUAACCCUCAAACAGAGGACCAAAUCCAAACUUCGAAUCUCUUACGGAAAUUUUUUUUGUAUAAACUCUUGAGCAGAUGGCGUUUUAUACAUUAUAAACAUCAAGAACACUCAGUUAAGUUUUGAACAGAAAAAGAUAACUAAAAAAAGAAAAAAAAAAGACAUUGUAGUGAAAUUUGUUUUGAAUCCCGAAUAUGAACAUAACAAAAAAAAACAACUUUUCUUACUAUCAACUAUGUUGAAAUGCGCUUGGGCUUCCUUAUUCAAAUUAGUUAAACAGAUUUUGAUACACAUAAUAAGCAGGUUCUGUUCUAUAUUCUUGCGCUGCACCAAGCAAACUGUUUAAUCAGAAAACAUAAAAUUUUCAAAGUUAAGCAAUGCAAUUUUACCAUAUGGGCUCUAUUUUUACUUUAGCUUCAGCUUGCAUUUCCAUAGCAACCCUCACUCCAUUAGGAGGUAUGAUAAUUCAACCAAAGAGGAACAGAAAAUGUCUCACUUGUCUCAUAAAAAUUCACUCAAGAAUACAAUGUUUUGCAGCAACAUUGAUGGCUUCGUGCAAGAAUGAUUCAGUCUCGAAAUCAUCAUAUGAUUCUGUAAUAUGCAAUGCAUACAGGACCGGCUCAACAUUCUUAGGGGCCCUAGGACAAAAAAAAAAUUUACCUUCUAAAAUUUGUAUACAAAUAAUAUUUAAAAUAUAUUUAAAAUUUAAUAUGUAAUAUUUUGUAUAUAUUUGCAAUGAAAAUAAAACUAUAUAUAAAUCAAAUAAUUUCGGACCCUUUUCAAUUUUAUUUAUUAUAUUUAUAAUUUUUAUAUAUAUAAAAAUAUAGAUUUAUAAGAAAAUCGGGUCUCUUAAUUAUUAUUAUACGGGGGGACACAGGCUUGGGCCCGGGGCGGUCGCACCGGUUGUUCCCCCACUGAGCCGGCC
This 1017-nucleotide long non-coding RNA is filed under the name Brassica rapa (field mustard). RNAcentral describes it as "long non-coding RNA (BRAP_LNC002492)". Lineage: Eukaryota; Viridiplantae; Streptophyta; Magnoliopsida; Brassicales; Brassicaceae. The record is from RNAcentral.